Molecule: ribosomal RNA, 332 nt
Filed under: uncultured bacterium
Lineage: Bacteria
Description: bacterial SSU rRNA
Rfam family: Bacterial small subunit ribosomal RNA
Source: RNAcentral
CGCGUAGGCGGUUAAUUAAGUGAGAUGUGAAAUUCCUGGGCUUAACCUAGGGUGGUCAUCUUAAACUGAUAGACUAGAGUAAUGUAGAGGGUGGGGGAAUUUCCGGUGUAGCGGUGAAAUGCGUAGAGAUCGGAAGGAACACCAGUGGCGAAGGCGCCCACCUGGACAGAUACUGACGCUGAGGCGCGAGAGCGUGGGGAGCAAACAGGAUUAGAUACCCUGGUAGUCCACGCUGUAAACGAUGAGAACUGGAUGUUGGGCAGCUUAGACUGUUCAGUAUCGAAGCUAACGCGUUAAGUUCUCCGCCUGGGGAGUACGGCCGCAAGGUUAAA